RNAcentral lists this ribosomal RNA (913 nucleotides) under uncultured bacterium. RNAcentral describes it as "bacterial SSU rRNA". It matches the Rfam family "Bacterial small subunit ribosomal RNA", at positions 8 to 916 of the family's 1533-position model. The record is from RNAcentral.
AGAGUUUGAUCAUGGCUCAGAGUGAACGCUGGCGGCGUGGCUAAGGCAUGCAAGUCGAACGGACUUAGGUGAGGGUAACUGAUCCUAAGUUAGUGGCGAACGGGAGAGUAAUACAUAGGUAACGUACCUUUGGCUUGGGAAUAGCGGCGGGUGGCAACACCCUUUGCGAAAGUGCCGGUAAUACCCAAUGAAGUCAGAAGAUCGCCUGGUUUUCUGACCAAAGUUUUUCGGCCUUUGAUCGGCCUAUGUCCUAUCAGGUAGUUGGUGAGGUAACGGCUCACCAAGCCUGCGACGGGUAGCGGGGCUGAGAGGUUGACCCGCCUCAUCGGGACUGAGACACUGCCCGGACACCUACGGGUGGCUGCAGCAACGAAUAUUGGACAAUGGACGCAAGUCUGAUCCAGCGACGCCGCGUGCGGGAUGAAGCCCUUCGGGGUGUAAACCGCUGUUAGGGGUAACCAAUUAAUUGAGGUAUCCCAGAGGAAGCCACGGCUAACUCCGUGCCAGCAGCCGCGGUAAGACGGAGGUGGCGAGCGUUACUCGGAUUCACUGGGCUUAGAGCGGGUGCAGGCGGCCAUAUAAGUCUGGAGUGAAAGCCCUCGGCUCAACCGAGGAAUUGCUUUGGAUACUGUAUGGCUUGAGGCAAGCAGGGGUCAGUGGAACGUUUGGUGUAGCGGUGAAAUGCGUAGAUAUCAAACGGAACGCCGGUGGUGAAGACGGCUGACUGGGCUUGUCCUGACGCUCAGACCCGAAAGCGUGGGAAGUGAACCGGAUUAGAUACCCGGGUAAUCCACGCCCUAAACGAUGCGCACUAGAUUCAGGAGCCUCUGACGGUUUCUGGGUCGAUGUGAAAACGUUAAGUGCGCCGCCUGGGGAGUACGGCCGCAAGGUUAAAACUCAAAUGAAUUGACGG